Trifolium pratense (red clover) is the source of this 96-nucleotide small nucleolar RNA. NCBI's taxonomy places the organism in Eukaryota, Viridiplantae, Streptophyta, Magnoliopsida, Fabales, Fabaceae. The record is from RefSeq and is a predicted model, not a curated record.
AAUGGGCAUGUGAUGAAUCUAAAUUUGUGUAAAUGGGUAAUUUGCAUCUGAAUAAUUCAUUGAUGUUAAUAUCACCUUGGAGAACUGAUGCCUAUG